GGUGAACGCUGGCGGCGUGCUUAAGACAUGCAAGUCGAACGCAGUCUUCGGACUGAGUGGCGCACGGGUGAGUAACGCGUAACUGACCUACCCAGAAGUCAUGAAUAACUGGCCGAAAGGUCAGCUAAUACGUGAUGUGAUGAUUCGCCGUGGCGAAUCAUUAAAGAUUUAUCGCUUCUGGAUGGGGUUGCGUUCCAUCAGCUAGUUGGUGGGGUAAAGGCCUACCAAGGCGACGACGGAUAGCCGGCCUGAGAGGGUGGCCGGCCACAGGGGCACUGAGACACGGGUCCC
RNAcentral lists this ribosomal RNA (291 nucleotides) under uncultured Deinococcus sp. Its description in RNAcentral is "partial 16S ribosomal RNA". It matches the Rfam family "Bacterial small subunit ribosomal RNA", at positions 28 to 334 of the family's 1533-position model. Lineage: Bacteria; Thermotogati; Deinococcota; Deinococci; Deinococcales; Deinococcaceae. The record is from RNAcentral.